AAUUUUUUAGUUCAGCCUUUAUCUCGUUAUCUGCAUGUCUCUAAUUGAGCUUUGUUGCUAAGUUUUAGCUUUUUUUUUUCUUAUGCGAUCACUUUGCUGGUUGUUGUGUUGGUUGGUUCGGUUCCUUGUACCUUUGAUGUAUCCUCUAUUUCUCUUUUUAUCU
RNAcentral lists this small RNA (163 nucleotides) under Arabidopsis thaliana (thale cress). Its description in RNAcentral is "ATSL118690". The record is from RNAcentral. Lineage: Eukaryota; Viridiplantae; Streptophyta; Magnoliopsida; Brassicales; Brassicaceae.